This 414-nucleotide ribosomal RNA is filed under the name Peribacillus muralis. RNAcentral's name for it is "bacterial SSU rRNA". It matches the Rfam family "Bacterial small subunit ribosomal RNA", at positions 149 to 549 of the family's 1533-position model. The record is from RNAcentral. Lineage: Bacteria; Bacillati; Bacillota; Bacilli; Caryophanales; Bacillaceae.
UCGGGAAACCGGAGCUAAUACCGGAUACGUUCUUUUCUCGCAUGAGAGAAGAUGGAAAGACGGUUUACGCUGUCACUUAUAGAUGGGCCCGCGGCGCAUUAGCUAGUUGGUGAGGUAAUGGCUCACCAAGGCGACGAUGCGUAGCCGACCUGAGAGGGUGAUCGGCCACACUGGGACUGAGACACGGCCCAGACUCCUACGGGAGGCAGCAGUAGGGAAUCUUCCGCAAUGGACGAAAGUCUGACGGAGCAACGCCGCGUGAACGAAGAAGGCCUUCGGGUCGUAAAGUUCUGUUGUUAGGGAAGAACAAGUACCAGAGUAACUGCUGGUACCUUGACGGUACCUAACCAGAAAGCCACGGCUAACUACGUGCCAGCAGCCGCGGUAAUACGUAGGUGGCAAGCGUUGUCCGGA